CGUGGAGCAUGCCUGUUUGAGUGUCAUGA
Molecule: ribosomal RNA, 29 nt
Filed under: Rhodotorula mucilaginosa
Lineage: Eukaryota; Fungi; Basidiomycota; Microbotryomycetes; Sporidiobolales; Sporidiobolaceae
Description: partial 5.8S ribosomal RNA
Source: RNAcentral